RNAcentral lists this long non-coding RNA (1387 nucleotides) under Rattus norvegicus (Norway rat). RNAcentral's name for it is "long non-coding RNA NONRATT022689". The record is from RNAcentral. Lineage: Eukaryota; Metazoa; Chordata; Mammalia; Rodentia; Muridae.
AUAGCUGCUCCAGUCACUUCCGAGGCUAGGGUGGAUGUUAUGGGAGCAGCCACUAAAGCUCCUGACCUGCAUGUGUAGAGCAGUGCCAGCUGCACAGAAUGAGCUCCAGGGGCAUGUGUUAAUGUGGACACCAGCAUGAUUCAGCCUCAGGAAUUUCUCCAGCCCAUGUGGCCUUAGCCCAGGACCGGUACCAGAAGGGCUGCAGAGUAGGCCAAGAGCAUCCUGAGACGCACGGGGUACCUUGGCAAACAACAGUGGUAGGUUGGGAUGUCCCCAGGCUGGGACAGGCUCCCUCUAAGAUGGCAGUCGUGAUGGAAAUGGGACCACCAGAGGAAGGUGGGCAAUGAGGGGGAAUGAGACCCACUGCAGCUGACUGGGGCAGUGACUGCACCUCUAACUGCCACCAUCUCAAGUCCGUUCUUCCUUCAGCCAAGGGGCCUCUGUCCUGGCAGGGCUAACUACUGCCAAAGUCCUGACCCUGGGAUCAGACUGCCUCCCUGGAGACAGGUCUCACUUGUCUGGCUGUGCUGCAAAGCCUCCCCCAGCUGGCAGAGGGCACCCUCCAGUCCUCAGCAGUUCCUUCCCACUGCACCUUGGCCAGUGGGUGGCUUACUACUCUGCAGUGGCUUCCCUCUCCUCCCCAGGUUUAACUUCCCCACGCUUUAGUUAGAAGAGACGCUUUAGUUAGAAGAGAACUUUAAAAGUGGAUCAAUCCUCGCAGUCGGGUCUUUUUUUUUUUUUUUUAAGUUUAUUGAAAAAUGCCAUACAAGAAGCAAGACCAAACACUUACCUAAACACUACAGCCACAUCUGUCACUACAAAGGCGCAGACAGCAGGCCCAGUUACUGCCUAUCUCACCUAAGGGAGGGGUUUUUCGGCUGGACUCCGCCGGCAUAGUUCCUAUUUUGUCAAAUGUAAACAACUACUUGAUAUGAUUCAUAAUUUUAAAAAAAUUUACAAAGCUCCUUCAUUUUUGUCAUGAAAAUAAUAUAUCUGAGAGAUUUGUAAAAACAACCAGCCUAGGGCUGGUAUUUCCCAUGAGCAUCAGGGUGCUGGCCAGGCUGUAGCCCCAGCUCCAUUCCUCAAAGUGGGCCAGGGCUCCCAGACCCCGAAUACACUGCUGGCCUUGGGGAGGGCCCCCGGAGUCAGCCUCCUUGAGCCCUCAGUUUAGGAAUAUAGGGCUUGCUUUGUGGGUGGGUGGCAGAGAUCUCAUGUGGUUUGAAGGAAAUCUACUUCUGAAGUAAAAAUAAAACUGCAGUUGGGAUUGUUACUGUGGUGUGCCUGAGUCACUUUGGGAAAAGUCCUGCCAAGUCUCUGACCCUGGAGAUGGGACUCCCCUCCCCCCUCACUCCUUCUACCUGGACAGAGCCUGUUCUUCACACAACUG